RNAcentral lists this ribosomal RNA (401 nucleotides) under uncultured bacterium. RNAcentral's name for it is "bacterial SSU rRNA". It matches the Rfam family "Bacterial small subunit ribosomal RNA", at positions 356 to 773 of the family's 1533-position model. The record is from RNAcentral.
GGGGAAUCUUGCGCAAUGGGCGAAAGCCUGACGCAGCAACGCCGCGUGCGGGAUGAAGGCCUUCGGGUUGUAAACCGCUUUCAGCAGGGACGAAAUUGACGGUACCUGCAGAAGAAGCCCCGGCCAACUACGUGCCAGCAGCCGCGGUAACACGUAGGGGGCGAGCGUUGUCCGGAUUUAUUGGGCGUAAAGAGCUCGUAGGCGGUUCUGUAAGUCGGGUGUGAAAACUCUGGGCUCAACCCGGAGACGCCACUCGAUACUGCGGUGACUGGAGUCCGGUAGGGGAGUGCGGAAUUCCUGGUGUAGCGGUGAAAUGCGCAGAUAUCAGGAGGAACACCGACGGCGAAGGCAGCACUCUGGGCCGGUACUGACGCUGAGGAGCGAAAGCGUGGGGAGCGAAC